This is a small nuclear RNA of Hippoglossus stenolepis (Pacific halibut), 159 nucleotides long. RefSeq annotates it as U1 spliceosomal RNA. The record is from RefSeq and is a predicted model, not a curated record. The transcript has a single exon. Lineage: Eukaryota; Metazoa; Chordata; Actinopteri; Pleuronectiformes; Pleuronectidae.
AUACUUACCUGGCAGGGAGUACCAUGAUCAUGAAGGUGGUUCACCCAGGGGCGAGGCUCAGCCAUUGCACUUCGGUUGUGCUGACCCGUGUGAAUUCCCAAAUGUGGGAAUCUCGGCUGCAUAUUUAUGAGUGGGGGACUGCGUCUGCGCUCUCCCCGA